GGGGGAGAAUGACUGCCCCCUUUCAUUGAGGAUUUCAAGUUAAAGGCUAACCGGAGUACUGAAGGCAAUGUUUUCAGAAGGCAGGAUCCCCAAUUAUAGUCAAAGGUAGUAUGGCAAUCUCCGCAGUCAAUAUUUGUUGUAUACUUGUUUUUCUUGUUUUUUAAACACAAUCAUGGUACCAAUACUUGCUUCUAUUUCACCAGAUGUAUAUCCUUGAACAUAUUAUUUUAUAAUUUAAGGAUAAUUUCCCGCCUGCAGUACCCUGGUCGGCCUUAAACUUGAGAUACUCCAUGAGAGGUGGCAGCACUGAGCUAACUUGCAACGUCACUUCCUAGAGCAGCUCAAACUGCUCAUGCGAUAUUUCCAAAAACUCCUCCAUGAAGCAAGAUAUCGACAUGCUAAAAUGACAUUCCUGAUCUUCAAACGCGCCACUAAGACUUCACAUAGGAAACAAUGGAGUGAUGUCAUCUUUGGCUUUGUCCAUUCUUUUUAAAGUCAAUGCUUUCCUCUCUCCCCUCUCCCCUCUUCCCCCGUCUCUUCCUCUCUCUCCCCUGGUUAGUUGUAUGUUAAUUUAUUGUGUUAAGUGCUCCCCCUCUUUUCUCUCUCUCUCUUCCUCCCACAUGUAUUUUUAUAAUUUUUUUAAUUUUUGUCAUUUAGCAGCUACUCCUAUCCAGGGCGACUUACAGUGAUGUUUGGUUCUCCCAAACCAAUGUGUUUCGAGACAGGGAUGAAAUACACUGUACGCCUGAGCUUGUCCCUCUACUCUGCACUCUGUGAUGUCCAGUCCCCAUAUACAAUCAUCGACUUGAUUGUGCUGAUGCCUCACUGUAAAAACCUGGAGAUCCUCACUGGUUCUGAGUGAGGUGACGUGGCCAAGAGCAGUGCCUGGGACACGUUCCAGCAUUACCGCUGUCUGGAGAACAGCCAGAGCGUGGCCAAGAACCCCUCCACAGACAUCUGCCGCAACUUCAUAUUUAGUGCACCAGCUCUUCUGCACCAGGGAGCUAAAAGGUUUCAAGAGGGUUUCUUCUGGCUCAAUGCUGACGAAUGGUGUGGAUUGUACAGCUCGACUCAGUCCCACAUCUGCCAUUCCAUAUUGAGGCAAACAUGCAACAGCUCUGUGCCAUUUUAUCUUUCCUCGAUUCCUUGCAUCCUUUUUCCACGCCUCCUUCUAAAACCCAAUUGGAGGAUCUCAGACCUCCAAUGGGUUUUGAGAAGGAUGCGAAUAGAGCUGAAGUGAGGAUUUGAGCAGAGAUGAAUUGGGACAAAGCUCAUGUCAAUGUUUUAGGUGGAAUGCUGAAUGAUACAUUUGUUAUGUUUUCACGUAAAUCUUUGUACUACUUGUGCUCUUUCCACAGAACCCACUGGGCACAGACGUCAAUUCAACAUUUAUUCUACGUUGGUUCAAUGUAAUUUCAUUGAAAUGACGUGGGAAAAACGUUGAGUCAACCAGUGUGUGCGAAGUGGGAUGCCUCUGGCUUGCUGAUAACAUCUGAUGAGCCUCCCUAUGACUGCCUGACUGUACUCAAUAACACUCCCAUUGCCAAAGUGAAAUAAUUUGAGACAAUGUAAUUUGAUAGACUGUGGCUAGGAUUCCAUUCAAUUGGUGAAAAAUUACCAUGCGAAUAUUUGAAAAACUGCAUUAAGAAAAUAUGCGCAUUUUCCCACCAGUGAUGUUUGCACCAAACUGAAUUGUUGUGGAUAGAAAUCAGUGUGUGAUAACAUAGUGCACACAUGUACCUUUCCUGCAGUCAAAUAACCAAAGCGCCCACUAGUGGGUAGUGGGUAGUGCGUACGGCCCAGUACAUCACUGGGGCUAAGCUGCCUGCCAUCCAGGACCUCUACAUUAGGUGGUGUCAGAGGAAGGCCCUAAAAAUUGUCAAAGACCCCAGCCACCCCAGUCAUAGACUGUUCUCUCUACUACCGCAUGGCAAGCGGUACCGGAGUGCCAAGUCUAGGACAAAAAGGCUUCUCAACAGUUUUUACCCCCAAGCCAUAAGACUCCUGAACAGGUAAUGAAUGGCUACCCAGACUUUUGCAUUGUGUGCCCCCCCUCACCCAAACCCCUCUUUUUAUGCUGCUGCUACUCUCUGUUUAUCUCAUAUGCAUAGUCACUUUAACUAUACAUUCAUGUACAUACUACCUUAAUUGGGCCGACCAACCAGUGCUCCCACACAUUGGCUAACCGCACUAUCUGCAUUGUGUCCCGCCACCCGCCAACCCCUCUUUUACGCUACUCUCUGUUCAUCAUAUAUGCAUAAUCACUUUAACCAUAUCUACAUGUACAUACUACCUCAAUCAGCCUGACUAACCAGUGUCUGUAUGUAGCCUCGCUACUUUUAUAGCCUCGCUACUGUAUAUAGCCUGUCUUUUUACUGUUGUUUUAUUUCUUUACUUACCUAUUGUUCACCUAAUACCUUUUUUGCACUAUUGGUUAGAGCCUGUAAGUAAGCAAUUUACUGUAAGGUGGACACCUGUUGUAUUCGGCGCACGUGACAAAUAAACUUUGAUUUGAUUAGUGGUGGGUGGAACAUUAUUUAUAUUUUUCAUAAUUAAUAAACAUUAUUUAUUUUUAAACGCCCCAAAUCCAUUGUUUCCAUAUCAAACGGUUUUGUUAUAUUUCAGUCUUCUGUGAUGUUUAUAAAGUGUAAUAGUGUAUACAUUUCAACUCUAUCUGACAUGGUACAUGCAUCUUCUUUUUAAGCCCAUAACCAUGUUUGUGAGGUGUAUACUUUGUUUCAAAGUAGAUUUAAGACUAUGAAGAAACACUCUGUGUGACCCUGAUUCAGCCCACUGCAGUAAAAGGUUAAGUGUUCAUGUACCGAAUACAAUUCUAAUGUUCAAUGUGUUUCCAUCGCAUUUUCAACUCUACCGAUAGUUUUGUGUGCAUGGUGACACAGUAUGUGCCUACUCUGGUCUUGGUUUCCGCGAGUCGUAGUGGUGGGACCACACACCAUGUCACUGCGUGACUCCAAGUUAACUUCGAUAUGAUGGUUAAUAUUCCACCGCUAUUUUUACCGACACAAAAAGAUCCCACCAUGUCGAACUAACAAAUUAUCUGUCAGCAUUUAUAAAAGUGUACCGAAAACAGCUGUUCUGAUUUAUUUUUUAUACGGUAUGACUUUACUCGCAUAAAAACUGUAGAUGGAAACGUGGUUAAUGGUAGUUCCCAAUCAGACAAUUAAUACAAAACAAAUCUGUUUUCCUCAGUUAAGUUUUAGUGAAUGCAUGGCGUUGCCUUGUCUUCAGUCCUUAUUAGAAUGCUGUGUGUACCACGAGGACAUGUUAACCCGGUUUUAGCUGCUUAAUCAUAUACAUUUUAGUCUACAUUCCAUUAUUUGACACUUGGUUAUGUACUGUUAUAAUGUAACAUGUUCUCCCCUUUGUGUCUCCAUAUAAUUCAAAAUCCCCAAUGUGCUGCCUGUGUGUGUGUGUGUGUGUGUGUGUGUAUACCCUUGGGCCUAAUAAAUACCCUAAAUAUUGGAUCCUGCCUUCAUCUCAAUUCCUGUACUGUCUUUUAACUAGCCCACUAGUCCUUCCAUUCUUCAAUGUUAUCAUUGUUAAGCCAUUAUUAUGUGAGUACCCACAUGUUAUUCCCAACAAUAUAUUUCACUUUGAUUAAGUAAUGUCCAGGACCUAGUGUGUGAUCAAUGAACUUGUUAGAUCACAGCCCCAUUAUCCCCAUACUCAACCUAUUCAUUGACACAUUGGGGUUAACUUGCUCAUAACAAGCAAACACAUACCAGUCACAAAAAAAAAAAAAUGAGUGUAGAGCUGGGCUCAUUUUAUGGUGUUAGCUAAAGCUGACUGUCUGCUCUUUGUCUUACAGACAAACGUUUCUAUCUUACAUGUAAGUAGAUUCCACUCAACUCAUUGUAUACUAUAGCUAUUUGAAUUUACACUGAGUGUACAAAACAUUAAGAACACCUAUUCUUUCCAUGACAUAGAUGGACCAGGUGAAUCCAGGUAAAAGCUAUGAUCCCUUAUUAAUUGUCAGUUGUUAAAUCCACUUCAAUCAGUGUAGAUGAAAGGGAGGAGAGAGGGUUAAAGAAGGAUUUUUAAGCCUUGAGACAUGGAUCGUAUGUGUGCCUUUCAGAGGGUGAAUUGGCAAAACCAAAAUUUAAGUCCCUUAGAAUGGGGAUUGGUAGUUGUUGCCAGGCCACCGGUUUAUGUUAAGAACUGCAACGCUGCUGGAUUUUUCACACUCAACAGUUUCCCUUGUGUAUCAAGACUGGUCGACCACCCAAAGGACAUCCAGCCAACCCGACAGAACUGGUAAACAUUGGAGUCAACAUGGGCCAGCAUGUUGUGGAACGCUUUCGACACCUUGUAGAGUCCACGUCCCGACGAAUUGAAGCUGUUCUGAGGGCGGAAUACAAAUUGAAACUCAAAUGAGAAAAAAUACAAAUUGAAACCCAAAGGGGCAAAGACUUGAGAGAGAGCAACUUGAGAAAUUGAGAGCGAAAACUUGACACAGAUAUGUGACUAUUGUUGGCGGACAAUUGAAUGCUUUCAAAUAAAAAAUGUACCCAUUUGAA
This is a long non-coding RNA of Salvelinus fontinalis (brook trout), 4538 nucleotides long. RefSeq lists it as uncharacterized. The record is from RefSeq and is a predicted model, not a curated record. Lineage: Eukaryota; Metazoa; Chordata; Actinopteri; Salmoniformes; Salmonidae. The transcript has 4 exons.